GAUAAGGAUGGUAUUUUUUUUUGUCAUUUAAGUAUUACCUUCCUCUUUAGGCAGAGGAAAAAAAAAGUUGGUAGGUAGCAACUGAAGUUUCAAGAGAACAUUGAAGUACAAUAUAGAAUAAUAAAAAAUACAUGGUUCACACUUCAAAGCUGUGGCAAGGAAACUUAUGCUGAAUCCCUUGCCCUUUAUGCCAUAGAGCAUCCGGCUGGAUUUCCGUUUAUCAUCGUUAU
This 230-nucleotide unclassified non-coding RNA is filed under the name Hevea brasiliensis (rubber tree). Lineage: Eukaryota; Viridiplantae; Streptophyta; Magnoliopsida; Malpighiales; Euphorbiaceae. The record is from RNAcentral.